Molecule: transfer RNA, 74 nt
Filed under: Clostridiales bacterium
Lineage: Bacteria; Bacillati; Bacillota; Clostridia; Eubacteriales
Also listed under: 2 other names
Description: tRNA-Gly
Rfam family: tRNA
About the family: Transfer RNA (tRNA) molecules are approximately 80 nucleotides in length. Their secondary structure includes four short double-helical elements and three loops (D, anti-codon, and T loops).
Source: RNAcentral
GCGGGUGUAGGUUAGUGGUAAACCGUGAGCUUCCCAAGCUCAAAUCGGGGGUUCGAUUCCCCUCACCCGCUCCA